This 531-nucleotide long non-coding RNA is filed under the name Carassius auratus (goldfish). RNAcentral describes it as "lncRNA (ENSCARG00000040277.1)". The record is from RNAcentral. Lineage: Eukaryota; Metazoa; Chordata; Actinopteri; Cypriniformes; Cyprinidae.
AUGAGCGAAGAGCUGGAGUUGAAAACCAUACAAGUUGUCCGUGACAACAAUAACUCGACAGAGCAAACGACUGUGGAGGUUCCGGGGAAUGGUGCUUACUCAGGCCACGACAGUUCAGAGAGAAAUGAAGUGUCCCCUUUGCUAUCAACAACACAGGACACUGAGAACAACAGGGAACAGCACAUCCAUGUGGAUGAAGGCGUCGAUACUGACUCUCUAAGUCAACACAAUUUGCAGAGGGAGCUGCGGAGGGUAAAGAAAGAACUGAAUGAAGUGGUGGUGUGGAAACUCAAACUAUGGACAUUGAUACUUAUCGUCUUUACUGCCAUUGCUCUGGUUAUUGGGAUCUCAAUCAUUGUGUGCGCAGUUGUUGAUGAUGAUGAGGAUGAAAAAUAUGACAAAUCAUCAUUUGUGGUGCCGCGCUUCUUCAGAGGGAAUUUCACUCUGGACGCUGAAAGUUUCGAUUCAGAAACUAAGGAGGAAGACACUAUGAUAGAGCUGAAAGAGCAGGUAAUAACAAGAAUGAUUUGA